GAUGAACGCUGGCGGCGUGCCUAAUACAUGCAAGUCGAGCGAACGGACGAGAAGCUUGCUUUUCGGACGUUAGCGGCGGACGGGUGAGUAACACGUGGAUAACCUACCUAUCAGACUGGGAUAACUUCGGGAAACCGGAGCUAAUACCGGAGAAUAUUUUGAACCGCAUGGUUCAAAAGUGAGAGACGGUCUUGCUGUCACUUAUAGAUGGAUCCGCGCUGCAUUGGCUAGUUGGUAAGGUAACGGCUUACCACGGCAACGAUGCGUAGCCGAGCUGAGAGGGGGGUCGGCCACACUGGAACGGAGACGCGGACCAGACUCCUACGGGAGGCAGCAGUAGGGAAUGGUCCGCAAUAGGCGAAAGCCUUACGGAGCAACGCCGCGUGAGUGAUGAAGGUCUUCGGAGCGUAAAACCCGGUUAUUAGGGAAGAACAUAUGUGUAAGUAACUGUGCACAGCUUGACGGUACCUAAUCAGAAAGCCACGGCUAACUACGUG
Molecule: ribosomal RNA, 497 nt
Filed under: uncultured bacterium
Lineage: Bacteria
Description: partial 16S ribosomal RNA
Rfam family: Bacterial small subunit ribosomal RNA
Source: RNAcentral